RNAcentral lists this unclassified non-coding RNA (379 nucleotides) under soil metagenome. RNAcentral describes it as "partial contains 5.8S ribosomal RNA, internal transcribed spacer 2, and large subunit ribosomal RNA". The stretch from base 1 to 120 matches the Rfam family "5.8S ribosomal RNA", at positions 35 to 154 of the family's 154-position model. The record is from RNAcentral.
GAUGAAGAACGUAGCGAAAUGCGAUAAGUAAUGUGAAUUGCAGAAUUCAGUGAAUCAUCGAAUCUUUGAACGCACCUUGCACCCUUUGGCAUUCCGAAGGGUAUGCUCGUUUGAGUGUCAUUGUACUCUCACACUUCCAAUCUUUGGAUUGGGAGCAGUGGACUUGGGUGUUGCUGCUUACUGCGGCUCACCUCAAAUCGAUUCGUGCACCUCUUGGUUGGACAUAGUACGGCGUGAUAAGUGUCUUCGCCGGCACCUCAGUAGAGGGUGGCUGAUCAGGAGCUCUGUGCUUCAAACCGUCCUCGGACAAAAACUGACAACUUGACCUCAAAUCGAGUAGGACUACCCGCUGAACUUAAGCAUAUCAAUAAGCGGAGGA